RNAcentral lists this ribosomal RNA (406 nucleotides) under uncultured bacterium. Its description in RNAcentral is "partial 16S ribosomal RNA". It matches the Rfam family "Bacterial small subunit ribosomal RNA", at positions 30 to 526 of the family's 1533-position model. The record is from RNAcentral.
AUUGAACGCUGGCGGCAGGCUUAACACAUGCAAGUCGAGCGAGCGGCGGACGGGUGAGUAAUGUCUGGGAAACUGCCUGAUGGAGGGGGAUAACUACUGGAAACGGUAGCUAAUACCGCAUACCAUCGGAUGUGCCCAGAUGGGCUUAAAUAGUAGGUGGGGUAAAGGCGCACCUAGGCGACGAUCCCUAGCUGGCCUGAGAGGAUGAACCGCCACACUGGGACUGAGACACGGUCCAGACUCCUACGGGAGGCAGCAGUGGGGAAUAUUGCACAAUGGGCGCAAGCCGGAUGCAGCCAUGCCGCGUGAGUGAAGAAGGCCUUCGGGUUGUAAAGCUCUUUCAGCGAAGAGGCGUUACUUGCAGAGGAAGCACCGGCUAACUCCGUGCCAGCAGCCGCGGUAAUAC